CCUACGGGAGGCAGCAGUGGGGAAUAUUGGGCAAUGGGCGCAAGCCUUACCCAGCAAUACCGCGUGAGUGAAGAAGGUCUUCGGAUUGUAAAGCUCUUUGAUCAGGGACGAACAGAUGACGGUACCUGAAGAACAAGCCCCGGCUAACUACGUGCCAGCAGCCGCGGUAAUACGUAGGGGGCAAGCGUUAUCCGGAUUCACUGGGUGUAAAGGGAGCGUAGACGGCCAUGCAAGCCUGGAGUGAAAGCCCGGGGCCCAACCCCGGGACUGCUCUGGGAACUGUGCGGCUGGAGUGCGGGAGGGGG
Molecule: ribosomal RNA, 305 nt
Filed under: uncultured bacterium
Lineage: Bacteria
Description: bacterial SSU rRNA
Rfam family: Bacterial small subunit ribosomal RNA
Source: RNAcentral